RNAcentral lists this ribosomal RNA (253 nucleotides) under uncultured bacterium. Its description in RNAcentral is "partial 16S ribosomal RNA". It matches the Rfam family "Bacterial small subunit ribosomal RNA", at positions 524 to 776 of the family's 1533-position model. The record is from RNAcentral.
UACGGGGGGGGCAAGCGUUGUUCGGAAUUACUGGGCGUAAAGGGCGCGUAGGCGGUCGGAUAAGUCAGCUGUGAAAACCACGGGCUUAACUCGUGGCCUGCAGUUGAGACUGUCUGGCUUGAGUGUGGGAGAGGAGAGUGGAAUUCCUGGUGUAGCGGUGAAAUGCGCAGAUAUCAGGAGGAACACCGGUGGCGAAGGCGGGUCUCUGGGCCGUAACUGACGCUGAGGAGCGAAAGCGUGGGGAGCGAACAGG